Molecule: RNA transcript, 7108 nt
Organism: Cebus imitator (Panamanian white-faced capuchin)
Lineage: Eukaryota; Metazoa; Chordata; Mammalia; Primates; Cebidae
Gene: NLRP1
Gene name: NLR family pyrin domain containing 1
Exons: 18
Source: RefSeq, a predicted model, not a curated record
UUCCUUCCUGCUCUGGCUGACUGGGGACUGUUCUUGGUGGUUGGUGUCCCAGGACCAGGAGAGACCUGAAGAGACCUGAGAACAAGCAGCCCUGGACUCAGCUCUGGGUUCUGAAAGCCCAUUUCCUGCUCUGCAGCUCUUCCCACCCUGCCUCUUCUCAGCCUUGCAGCUCAAGUGUUGAUCUCAGGAGUCCAGGACCCAGGAGAAGGAAGAAUCUGAGGAACGCAGAACAGUGAGCGUUGCCCACACCCCAUCCUCCAUCACCACAUCUCCCUUCACCCUCACCAUCCCUGCCUGGCCCUAGGCCCCAUCCCUGCACCUCUGUAUCAGCUGACUUCUUCCAGUGUCCCGCAGGACCCUCUGGGUUCCUCCCUCCUCUGACUUUUCCUACCACUCCCCUUCUAUCAGCAUCUAUCUGCAGGUGCCCUGGGGUCUAUAAAACUGGGUUCUGAAUGCUGAAUAAGAGACAGUAAGAGCCAAGGCAAAGGAGAGCACUGUUCUUUGCCUGCCUGAUACCCUCACCACCCAUAAACAUCCCCCAGAUACUCCCUUAACUCUGAGACAAAGAUGGCUGGUGGAGCCUGGGGCCGCCUGGCCUGUUACUUGGAGCUCCUGAAGAAGGAGGAACUGAAGAAGUUCCAGCUUCUGCUGACCAAUAAAGCACACUCCAGGGGCUCUUCGGGUGAGACACCUGCUCAACCAGAGAAGAUGAGUGGCAUGCAGGUGGCCUCACACCUGGUGGCUCAGUAUGGGGAGCAGCAGGCCUGGGACCUGGCCAUCCAUACCUGGGAGCAGAUGGGCCUGAGGUCACUGUGUACCCAAGCUCAGGAAGAGGCAGGCCACUAUCCCUCAUUCCCCUCCAGCCUAAGUGAACCCAGCCUGGAGUCUCCCAACCAACCCACCUCCACUGCAGUGCUUAGGUCCUGGAUCCCUGAAUUGCAGGGGUGCACCCAGGGCUCAGAGAGAAGCAUUUUGAGACACCUACCUGACACGUCUGGACACCACUGGAGAGAAAUCACUUCCUCACUCCUCUACCAAGCUCCUUUAAGCUCUCCAGACUAUGGGUCUCCAAGCCAUGACUCACCCAAUGUCCCCACAUCCACUGCAGAGCUGGGGAGCUGGGAAUCCCCACUUCAUCCCAGCCCAGUGCCCAGAGAGCAGGAGGCUCCUGGUACCCAGUGGCCUCUGGAUGAAACGUUGGGAAAUUACUACACAGGAAUCAGAGAAAGAGACCAGAGCCUGUGGAGGGGGAGCCCCUGUUCCACAUGGUCCUGGAAAAAUGAGGAUUUGAACCAAAAAUUUACACAGCUGCUACUUCUACAAAGGCCUCACCCCAGAAGCCAUGAGUGCCUGGUCAGGGGAAGAUUGCUUCAUAAUGUGGAGGAGGAUCAAGGACAUUUAAUUGAGAUCGGAGACUUAUUUGGCCCAGGCCUAGAUACCCAGGAACCUCGCGUAGUCAUACUGCAGGGGGCUGCUGGAAUUGGGAAGUCAACACUGGCCAGGUGGGUGAGGGAGGCCUGGGGGAGAGGCCAGCUGUAUAGGGAUUGCUUCCAACAUGUCUUCUACUUCAGCUGCAGAGAGCUGGCCCAGUCCAAGGUGCUGAGUCUUGCUGAGCUCAUUGGAAAAGACUGGACAGCCACUCAGGCUCCCAUUAGACAGAUCCUGUCUAGGCCAGAGCGGCUACUCUUCAUCCUCGAUGGUGUGGAUGAACCAAAAUGGGUCUUGGAGGAGCAGAGUCCCGAACUCUGUCUGCACUGGAGCCAGCCGCAGCCAGCGGAUGCACUGCUGGGCAGUUUGCUGGGGAAAAGCAUACUUCCCAAGGCAUCCUUCCUGAUCACUGCUCGGACCACAGCUCUGCAGAGUCUCAUUCCUUCUUUGGAGCAGGCACGUUGGGUAGAGGUCCUGGGGUUCUCUGAGUCCAGCAGGAAGGAGUAUUUCUAUAAAUAUUUCACAAAUGAAAGGCAAGCAAGUAGAGCCGUUAGGUUGGUCAAAUCAAACAAAGAACUCUGGGCCCUGUGUCUCGUGCCCUGGGUGUCCUGGCUGGCCUGCACUUGCCUGAUGCAGCAGAUGAAGCAGAAGGAAGAACUCACACUGACCUCCAAGACCACCACGACCCUCUGUCUGCAUUACUUUUCCCAGACUCUCCAAGCUCAGCCAUUGGGGUCCCAGCUCCGGGGCUUCUGCUCCCUGGCUGCUGAGGGCAUCUGGCAAAGAAAGACCCUUUUCAGUCCAGAUGACCUCAAGAAGCAUGGGUUAGAUGGGGCCAUCAUCUCCUCCCUCUUGAAGAUGGGUAUUCUUCAAGAGCACCCCAUCCCUCUGAGCUACAGCUUCAUUCACCUCUGUUUCCAGGAGUUCUUUGCAGGAAUGUCCUGUGCCUUGGAGGAUAAGAAGGAGGGAAGUGAACAUUCUAAUCACAUCAUGGGUUUGGGAAAGUUGCUAGAAACAUAUGGAACACAUGACCUGUUCAGGGCACCAACCACACGUUUCCUACUGGGCCUGUUAAGUGAACAGGGGGCAAGAGAGAUGGAGAACAUCUUCGACUGCCGGCUGUCUCAGGAGAGGAAGAGGAGGCUUCUGCAGUGCACCCAGUUCCUGCAGCCCCCACUGCAGUCAUACCCUCUGGAGUUCCUCCACUGUUUGUACGAGACUCAGGGCAAAAGGUUCCUGACACAAAUGAUGGCCCAUUUCCAAGAAGUGUGCAUGUGUGUGGAAACAGACAUGGAGCUCCUGGUGUGCACUUUCUGCAUUAAAUUCUGCCACAACGUGAAGAAGCUUCAACUGAUUGAGGGCAGGCAGCAUGGACCAGCAUGGAGCCUUGACAGGGUAGUCCUGUUCAGGUGGGUCCCAGCCACAGAUGCCUAUUGGCAGAUUCUCUUCUCCGUUCUCAAGGUCACCGGAAGCCUGAAGGAGCUGGACCUAAGUGGAAACUUGCUUAGCCUCUCUGCAGUGCAGAGUCUUUGUGAGACCCUGAGAUACCCUCGCUGCCUCCUGGAGACCCUGCGGUUGGCCGGCUGUGGCCUCACAGCUGAGGGCUGCAAGGACCUUGCCUCUGGGCUGAGAACCAACCAGACCCUGACAGAGGUGGAGCUGAGCUUCAAUGUGCUCACAGAUGCCGGAGCCAAACAUCUUUGCCAGGGACUGAGACGGCCAAGCUGCAAGCUACAGCGACUGCAGCUGGUCAGUUGUGGCCUCACGUCUGGCUGCUGCCGAGCCCUGGCCUCUGUGCUUAGCGCCAGCCCCAGCCUGAAGGAGCUAGACCUGCAGCAGAACGACCUAGAUGAUGUCGGCGUGCAGCUGCUCUUUAAGGGACUCAGGCAUCCUACCUGCAAACUCACACGCCUGGGGCUGGACCAGACAACUCUGAGCGAUGAGACCAGGCAGGAGCUGAGAGCCCUGGAGAAGGAGAAGUCCCAGCUGCUCUUGUCCUACACACGGAAACCAAGUGUGAUGAUCCCUAAUGAGGGCCCGGAUACAGGAGAGAUGAGUAACAGCACAUCCUCACUCAAGCGGCAGAGACUCAGAUCAGAGACGGAGUCUUCCUAUGUUGCUCAGGCUGAUCUCAAACCCUUGGACUGGAGCAAUCCUCCUGCCAAGGCCUUUCACAGUGCUGGGAUGACGAGCAAGAGCCACGAGGGAAGCGUCCCAAGGAUAGCACAGCAGGAACUCGCCUGUCUGCCUUCUCCUGCCUCUCAGGAGGACCUGCAUACGAAGCCUUUGGGGACUGAUGAUGACUUCUGGGGCCCCACAGGGCCUGUGGCUACUGAGGUAGUUGACAAAGAAAGGAGCCUGUACCGAGUUCACUUCCCUAUGGCUGGCACCUACCGCUGGCCUAACAUGGGUCUCUGCUUUGUGGUGAGAGAAGCCGUUACCACUGAAAUUGAGUUGUGUGUGUGGGAUAAGCUCCUGGGCGAAAUCAACCAACAGCACAGCUGGAUGGUGGCAGGGCCUCUGUUGGACAUCAAGGCUGAGCCUGGAGCCAUCAAAGCUGUGCACCUCCCUCACUUUGUGGCUCUCCAAGGGGGCCACAUUGAUACAUCCCUGUUCCAAGUAGCCCACUUUAAAGAGGAGGGGAUGCUCCUGGAGAAGCCAGCCAAGGUGGAGCUGCAUCACAUAGUUCUGGAAGACCCCAGCUUCUCCCCCAUGGGAGUCCUCCUAAGAGUGAUCCAUAAUGCCCUGCGCAUCUUUCCCGUCACCUCGAUGGUGCUGCUCUACCACCGCAUCCAUCCUGAGGAAGUCACCUUCCACCUGUACCUGAUCCCAAGUGACGGCUCCAUUCGGAAGGCCGUAGAUGAUGAAGAAACGAAGUUCCAGUUUGUGCGACUACACAAGCCACCCCCGCUGACCCCACUUUAUAUGGGCUCUCGUUAUGCUGUGUCUGGUUCAGAGGAGCUGGAAAUAAUCCCCGAGGAACUGGAGCUCUGCUAUCGAAGCCCUGGAGAACCCCAGCUGUUCUCCGAGUUCUAUGUUGGCCACUUGGGAUCAGGGAUCAGGCUGCAAAUGAAAAACAAGACAGAUGAGACUUUGGUGUGGGAGGCCUUGGUGAAACCAGGAGAUCUCACACCUGCAACUACUCUGGUCCCUCCAGCCCCCAAAGCCUUACCUUCCCCUCUGGAUGCCCUGGGGUUGCUGCACUUCGUGGACCAGUAUCGAGAGCAGCUGGUGGCCCGAGUGACAUCAGUGGAACCUGUCUUGGACAACCUGCUUGGACAUGUGCUGAGCCAGGAGCAGUACGAGGGGGUGCUGGCCGAGGACACCAGGCCAAGCAAGAUGCGGAAGCUGUUCAGCUUCAGCCAGUCCUGGGACAGGAGCUGCAAAGAUCGACUCUACCAAGCCCUGAAGGAGACCCAUCCUUACCUCAUUAUGGAACUCUGGGAGAAGGGCAGCAAAAAGGGACUCCUGCCACUCAGCAUCUGAGGCAUGAACACCAGCCCUUGAGUCCUGGCUUUGCUUGACCCUUCUUUGGGUCUGUUUCUUUCUCUGCAAACAAGUUGCCAUCUGAUUUGCCUUCCAGCACUAGAGUAGUGGAACAUUGAUGAUGCCUUUGCUGGGCAUUAUAUGUCCAUGCCAGGGAUGCCACAUGGGGCCCCAGUCCAGGUGGCCUAACAGCAUCUCAGGGAAUGUCCAUCUGGAGCUGGCAGGACCCCUGCAGACCUCAUAGAGCCGCAUCUGGUGGCCAUAGCAGCCAAGCCUAGAGCCCUCCGGAUCCCAUCCAGAUGCAAGGAGGAAUAGAAGGGACAUGGAAACUUUUGCCUCUGGCUAUGUCACAGGAUGAGUCCCAAAACUGGGGUUCAGCAUGGGAGGCCACGUGGAUUACUGGCUUCUCGCAGGAAGAUAUACAAGAGCAAGCCGACAGAAAAGUGGAAGGAAGUUUAUUAAGAAAAUAAAGGAGUGUUACAGCGCUUUUAGAAUUUGUCUAGCAGGCUUUCCAGUUCUUACCAGAAAAACCCUCAGGCCACACACCCAUCAGGCUGGCCUUGUCCUUCAGGUCCUUCAUGCCCCACCCACCCAUCUCCUUUAGCACACACACACCUCUGCUCUCCACAUAACCCUCCCUCCAAGAAGAAACCCCAACGGUUAUCAGGAGGACUGAGCCAAGUUGUUUAAGGAAGAAAGAGAAAGAACCACACACCCAAGUGAAGAUACACUUGAUCAAGCUGCAUUUUAUCCAUAAUGCCAGCAGGAGGCCUUUGCUAUCCCCAGUGCUCUAUAGACACAAACCCAGUGAAUCUGCACAGGGACACCAGGAGGAGAUGCUGUUAUCAGCCCACUUGACAGAUGAUGCACACACAGGUCAAGUAAUCUGCUCAGAGUCCCACAUUUGGUAAGAGCCCUUGCUGGGAGUCAAAACCGGGCAGUCCAGAUCAUUUAACUGCUCUACUAGAUGACUCUCCAGUGCCCCACCUUUAUGUGAUGUGGGUGCCACUGUCCCUGCUUGAGCAGGAGAGUCACUGUGCCCCUCAACAGCUCACCUGAGGCUGGAAGGUACUGAUAACACACUCAGCAGAGAGGGCAGGUCCAGGCAUCAGGCCACAGGCCCAAGGGCAGCAUCUAAAGGAGGGAGAGUCCCCAGGCAGCAAUGUCCCAAGGCCAACACUGGGCAUGUGGCUGAGAAAGGAUGAAGGAUCUGAUGGGCUUUCAUUAUGGAGCACUAGUGAUGCUUUGAGCCAUUUUUCUAUUCAUUGCCUGUCUUCUCUAUUGGGCUAUGAGCUCUGAAAUUGCAGUAUCCACAUCUUCCCUGUUCACAGCUACAUCCAUAAGCCCUGGCACAAUGUAAGUAUUCAGUAAGCUUUUGUAUAUUAGGCUGGGCACAGUGGCUCAGGCCUGUAAUCCCAGCACUUUGGGAGGCCAAAGCACCCACACAGUGCUAGACAAUGAGGCUCAUCCUGAAAAGAAGAGUUUGAAUGAUGGGAGGCCAAACACCUGACCAAUGUAGGCCACUCUUGAUCACUCCAUUUUCCCACUGCCCCUUCCUCCUCCUCGUUCUCUACCUGCCCAGAGUCAAACCUGCCAGCAUCACCCAAUGGUCUCUCAGAGUUACAGAAUCCACACCAGCACAGGCAACCAAAGGUUCGAUAUCUUUCCCAGCUCCAGGGCCAGGGGCUGGGCCUGUGUAUGAGUUUGACUUAAGGGAGUUCCUGAGAUGCAGCCACCUUAGAGAAUUUCUCACGACCUCCAAAGGCCCCAGGCCCAGGCAUAUCCCCUUCUCCGUGCUGGGUGUCUUAGUCCAUUCAGGCUCCUAUAAGAAAAUACCAUUAACUGGGUGGCUUAUGAAUGACAAAUGUUUAUUUGUUUAUUUCUCACAGUUCUUGAGAGUAUUUAGACCAAGAACAAGGUGCUGGCAGAUUCAAUGUCUAGCCAGGGCCCUCUUCCUCAUAGAUGUCACCUUCUAGCUGUGCCUUUACAGGGCAAAGGAGCAAACAAGCUCCCUUGGGUCUUUUUAUAAGGGCACUGAUCCCAUUCAUGAGAAUGCAUGCUCAGUGGACGGUACCACCCUUUACUGACUUUGGGGAAACUGGAGAAGGAGCUGGCAAAACUGAAGAGGGGUUUUUGGACUUGCCAGCCUAUAUAAUCAUGUCAGCCAAUUCUUAAACAUAAAUGUCUCAAUAUA